AUCCAUAUAAUUGAUUCAAAGUUUUCAUUUUCAUAUGUAUUCUCACAUAACAGGGCAUGAAUUGGUAUGUUUAAAUUUUAAAAAAAGCACACGUAUGCAUCCGGUUAAUUGUUCCAAUGAUAAAGGGUGAUUGUUCUUGUAGAAAGGUAACGAAUGUCACCUUUUCGUUGAAAAGUGACAUAAUGUCACUUUUUUUAGAAAGGUGACAGUAUGUCACUCUUCAUGAUCAAACAUCUUGCAAGCAUCCAUGUAGUCGAUUCAAAGUUUUCUUUUUCAUAUGUAUUACCAAAAAAUAAGAUAUGAAUUAGUACAUUCAAAUUUUCAAAAAAGCACACAUAUGCAUCCGAUUAAUUACUCCAAUGAUAAAUAGUGACUGUUUUGGAGAAAGGUCACAAAAUGUCACUUUUUCUAAGAAAAGUGACAGAAUUCCACUUUCUCACCUUCUCCUAUGAGCAAACACAUUGCAAGCGUCAAUGCAAUUGGUUCAAAGUUUUCUUUCUCAUGUGUAUUACCAAAAAAUAUGACUUGAAUAUAUACAUUCAAAUUUCCAAAAACUCACACAUGUAUAUCUAGCUAAUUGCUCAAGAGAAUGAUGUGACUUUUUUUGAGAAAAAUGACAGAAUGCCACUUUCUCACCUUUUUCUUUGAGCAAACACAAUGCAAGCAUCAAUGCAAUUGGUUUAAAAUUUUCUUUCUAAUGUGUAUUACUAGAAAAUAGAGCUUGAAUAUGUACGUCCAAAUUUCCAAAAACUCACACAUGCAUACCUAUUUAAUUGCUCAAAAGAAAUGCCUUGACUUUUUUUCAGAAAGGUGACAGAAUUCCACUUUCUCACCUUCUCUUUUGAACAAACACAUUGCAAGCAUCAAUGCUAUUGGUUUAAAGUUUUCUUUCUCAUACGUAUUACCGAUUAAUAAGGCUUGAAUAUGUACGUUCAAAUUUCCAAAAACUCACAUGUGCAUACCUAGCUAAUUGCUUAAAAGAGAUGCUGUGACAUUUUUUGAAAAAAGUGAUAGAAAGCCACUUUUUCACAUUAUCUUUUUGUCAAACACCUUGCAAGCAUCAAUUUAAUUAAUUCAAAACUAAUUUUUCAUAUAUAUUGACACAAUCCACUCAACUUCAACAAUUUUAUUUUCAUACAUGUUUCCAAUCAAAUUAAUAAAAUCGUCAAAAAGAAACUUCAUAAAUGUUAAUUAUACAUUAUGAGAUUUAAACUAAAUCUAAUCAUGAAAUUCAAACAAAAAUGAGAUGGAUAAUGAGCUAUAAUCAUGGAAUCCAAAACAUAGAAAUACCUGUAAUUUUGUUUGUGGCUUUGUGGAAGAUCUCCUCGACUUUUUUUCCAAAUUUUUCAAUGUUUUUGUGGUGUGCCGUGCGAGAUUGUGCGAAUUGCAAAGGAGAAGAAGCCGUGUGCAGUGUGGGCCAAGGUCCUCAGGGUGAGUUCAUUGUUCUUCAUACUUGGAAGUCUUGAAUGGUUGAAUUGUUUUUGUUUUUGUUGAAUUCUUUUGGUUCAAAUCCUUUCAUUAUCUUAUCUAUUUUUGGUGAAUUGCGAUUGCGAAAUGAAAUCAGGAUCUCUUUUCGUUGAAUUGUUGAAACUUGAAUGUUGAAUUAUUGAUUUGUUGCACUUGUUCGUUGAGACUUGAGAGGGUUGUCUUGCCUGCCUAAUGUAUUUUGGAUUUGGUAGGUAUUAGGUAGAAUUUAUUUAUAAUUGAUAAUAUUAUUUAAUCAAAUUUAAAUAAAUGACCGACUGCCAGUCGGACCUGACUAUUACGAUCGUUGAUUAUCGACGGUCAACGAUCAAAGUCAACAUCCGCCCUAGAUGUACAUGCGU
This 1826-nucleotide long non-coding RNA is filed under the name Olea europaea (common olive). RNAcentral's name for it is "long non-coding RNA (OEUR_LNC005339)". The record is from RNAcentral. Lineage: Eukaryota; Viridiplantae; Streptophyta; Magnoliopsida; Lamiales; Oleaceae.